This 467-nucleotide ribosomal RNA is filed under the name uncultured Cellulomonas sp. RNAcentral's name for it is "bacterial SSU rRNA". It matches the Rfam family "Bacterial small subunit ribosomal RNA", at positions 916 to 1381 of the family's 1533-position model. The record is from RNAcentral. Lineage: Bacteria; Bacillati; Actinomycetota; Actinomycetes; Micrococcales; Cellulomonadaceae.
GACGGGGCCCGCACAAGCGGCGGAGCAUGCGGAUUAAUUCGAUGCAACGCGAAGAACCUUACCAAGGCUUGACAUACACCGGUAACGCCCAGAGAUGGGUGCCCCUUGUGGUCGGUGUACAGGUGGUGCAUGGUUGUCGUCAGCUCGUGUCGUGAGAUGUUGGGUUAAGUCCCGCAACGAGCGCAACCCUCGUCCUAUGUUGCCAGCGGGUCAUGCCGGGGACUCAUGGGAGACUGCCGGGGUCAACUCGGAGGAAGGUGGGGAUGACGUCAAAUCAUCAUGCCCCUUAUGUCUUGGGCUUCACGCAUGCUACAAUGGCCGGUACAAAGGGCUGCAAGACCGUGAGGUUGAGCGAAUCCCAGAAAGCCGGUCUCAGUUCGGAUUGGAGUCUGCAACUCGACUCCAUGAAGUUGGAAUCGCUAGUAAUCGCGGAUCAGCAUGCCGCGGUGAAUACGUUCCCGGGCCUU